Molecule: transfer RNA, 73 nt
Filed under: Candidatus Daviesbacteria bacterium
Lineage: Bacteria; Candidatus Daviesiibacteriota
Description: tRNA-Phe
Rfam family: tRNA
About the family: Transfer RNA (tRNA) molecules are approximately 80 nucleotides in length. Their secondary structure includes four short double-helical elements and three loops (D, anti-codon, and T loops).
Source: RNAcentral
GCCGAAGUUGCCAAUGUGGUCAAGGCGCGUGUCUGAAGAACACGUUAUUGGUGUUCGAUUCACCACUUCGGCA